This 407-nucleotide ribosomal RNA is filed under the name uncultured bacterium. RNAcentral describes it as "bacterial SSU rRNA". It matches the Rfam family "Bacterial small subunit ribosomal RNA", at positions 30 to 420 of the family's 1533-position model. The record is from RNAcentral.
AGCGAACGUUAGCGGCAGGCUUAACACAUGCAAGUCGAGCGAGAAAGGGGCUUCGGCCCUGAGUAAAGCGGCGGACGGGUGCGUAACACGUGGAUAAUCUGCCCUUCAGUGGGGAAUAACGUUCCGAAAGGAACGCUAAUGCCGCAUGUCACAGCAAUGUCUCUGGACAAAGUUGGAAAAGGGGACGCCCGCAAGGGGUUCUCGCUGGAGGAUGAGUCCGCGGCCCAUCAGCUUGUUGGCGGGGUAAUGGCCCACCAAGGCGAAGACGGGUAGCUGGUCUGAGAGGAUGACCAGCCACACUGGGACUGAGACACGGCCCAGACUCCUACGGGAGGCAGCAGUGGGGAAUAUUGGACAAUGGGCGAAAGCCUGACGCAGCGACGCAGCGUGAGGGACGACGGCCUCGG